GCGAUGAACCAAGCUGCCGCCCUGCUGCCUGACUAUCAGGCAAAGGGGAGGAAAGUCCGGGCUCCGCAGGGCAUGAUGCCGGGUAACGCCCGGGCGCGCGGUUGUCCGUUCACGGAUAGCCGCGCGACAGACAGCGCAACAGAAAGUAUACCGUCCGGCUGCCCAGCAGGCGGAUAAGGGUGAAAAGGCGGGGUAAGAGCCCACCUCGGCUGCGGCGACGCAGCCGGAACCAUUCCGGCCCGGCCUUUUCGCCGGAACCGGAAAAGGGCAAGCCUCAUCAGGAGCAAAGUCAAGCAGCGGUUGAACGGCCCGUUCAAAACCGCGGGUAGACUGCACAGAGGAUCCCUGCAAAGGGAUUCGAAGACAGAUGGCAGCGGCGCUUCGGGCUGUAAGGCCUGGGGCGUAACAGAACCCGGCUUAUGGUUCAUCGCUUUU
RNAcentral lists this RNase P RNA (435 nucleotides) under Treponema sp. RNAcentral describes it as "RNase P RNA component class A". It matches the Rfam family "Bacterial RNase P class A". From Rfam's summary of the family: Ribonuclease P (RNase P) is a ubiquitous endoribonuclease, found in archaea, bacteria and eukarya as well as chloroplasts and mitochondria. Its best characterised activity is the generation of mature 5'-ends of tRNAs by cleaving the 5'-leader elements of precursor-tRNAs. Lineage: Bacteria; Pseudomonadati; Spirochaetota; Spirochaetia; Treponematales; Treponemataceae. The record is from RNAcentral.